This 500-nucleotide ribosomal RNA is filed under the name uncultured bacterium. RNAcentral describes it as "partial 16S ribosomal RNA". It matches the Rfam family "Bacterial small subunit ribosomal RNA", at positions 30 to 523 of the family's 1533-position model. The record is from RNAcentral.
AUUGAACACUGGCGGAAUGCUUUACACAUGCAAGUCGAACGGCAGCACGGACUUCGGUCUGGUGGCGAGUGGCGAACGGGUGAGUAAUGUAUCGGAACGUGCCCAGUCGUGGGGGAUAACGUAGUGAAAAUUACGCUAAUACAGCAUACGAUCUCUGGAUGAAAGCGGGGGAUCGCAAGACCUCGCGCGAUUGGAGCGGCCGAUAUCAGAUCAGGUAGUUGGUGGGGUAAAGGCUCACCAAGCCAAAGAUCUGUAGCUGGUAUGAGAGGACGACCGGCCAAACUGGAACUGAGACACGGGCCAGCGUCCAACGGGAGGCAGCAGUGGGGAAUUGUUGACAAUGGGCGAAAGCCUGAUCCAGCCAGUCCGCGUGCAGGAUGAAGGCCCUCGGGUUGUAAACUGCUUUUGUACAGAACGAAAAGGUUUCUACUAAUACUAGGAGCUCACGACGGUACUGUAAGAAUAAGUACCGGCUAACUACGUGCCAGCCGCCGCGGUAA